CACACGCUCCCUUAGAUCCACCUACGGGAUGUGCCCUUGAGUUGAGUUCUGCUCUUCUCCCUGUGAGUCCUGCAGUUCCAGCCAGGAAGCAUCCAGCAACUUUCCAGGUUGUACAGUCGGAGGUGCUUGAGUCAUUGGCGUGUGAGAGCAACACACCUGCACGCCAGCCAUUCACGUUCUGUUGGACAACAGUCUGUCUCACUGCAGACUGUCUUUCACCAACAGAGCCAGGCUGGUGUGUGGACAGU
This is a small nucleolar RNA of Polyodon spathula (Mississippi paddlefish), 248 nucleotides long. RefSeq annotates it as small nucleolar RNA SNORA53. Lineage: Eukaryota; Metazoa; Chordata; Actinopteri; Acipenseriformes; Polyodontidae. The record is from RefSeq and is a predicted model, not a curated record. The transcript has a single exon.